Molecule: long non-coding RNA, 1106 nt
Organism: Coregonus clupeaformis (lake whitefish)
Lineage: Eukaryota; Metazoa; Chordata; Actinopteri; Salmoniformes; Salmonidae
Exons: 6
Source: RefSeq, a predicted model, not a curated record
GUUGUAUCUGCAUCAGAUAAUACAUGCCAUGUUUUCUCCAUAGGUUUGGGUUUGAAGGUAAAGCAGCCAUGUAGACCUUCAUCAGACACUGUCUGUGGGACACUGGAGGGGUUCUACUGUCUAGACCCAACUAAGGAUGGUUGUAGAGCAGCCCAGAGACACAGCAGCUGUAAACCUGGUCAAUACAUCAGCCACACAGGAACAACAUCUACAGAUACUGUGUGUGUUGACUGCCCUGGUAAAACGUAUUCAGAUGGAUCAUUAACAUCUUGUCAACCACACACAGAAUGUGAAUUCUUGGAAAUUGAACCAGGAACUCCUUGGUCGGAUUCAGAAUCCGGAGUAACCUCACUUCCCACAGCUGGAACCACAGCUGGAACCAUAGCUGGUGUUCUGAUAGGUUUCCUGAUAGGCACCAUAGCUGGUGUUUGUUUAUUUAUAGUGAGAACAAGAGAGAUGGUGAGAACAAGACAAAACUUAGGCCCUCAAAUACUGACACAGACAUCCCCAGAUCAGGAUAUAUCAAUGCUGUCUGAGGGAACUGGAAAAGAUUCAAGCCCCCAUCACAGUCAGGGACUCAACAUUCUGUAAGCUGUGGUCCGCUGGCUGGUCCAGCCAUCUAUAGUGUAUUUUAACACUACAUGUUAAAUGUGGUAUUGUAGAAUCUGGUUGGUAUAAAAACAGAAUUCUACAGCACAUUCAAUUGUAGUCUAAAGAAAUGAAAAACACUUUGAAACCCAACCUCCAGUAGGAAGAAUAUGACCUCUGGGUAGAGGAUCACUGUGCAUUGACAAUGACUAUUAUGUGGCUUAGUGUAUUAAUCAUAUACAUUAGCUUCCACCCACACUGGAACAUGUGUAUCAGCUUCUGCCUACAGCCUGUUCUAAAAUGAAAAGGACCAUGUGAUGAGGAUUAGGAACCAGCAUCGGUAGGUGAGAACCCUCUGCUCUGUCCAGGGGAAAGUCAAACGUGUGUAUAACUUCAGGACCACAACGUCUGUCAGCCCAUACUAUGGAACUCCAAAUGGGACUUGAUAAUAUCUUGAGACACAGAUUACGAAUUAACUUUUAAGAAGGCACACCUAAUUAAUUGAAAUGCAUUCCAGG